GGGGGGGGCUAAGCGUUGUUCGGAAUUACUGGGCGUAAAGGGUUCGUAGGUGGCCCGCUAAGUCACACGUGAAAUCCCUCAGCUUAACUGGGGAACUGCGUGUGAGACUGGCAGGCUUGAGUGCAGGAGAGGAACGCGGAAUUCCAGGUGUAGCGGUGAAAUGCGUAGAUAUCUGGAGGAACACCGGUGGCGAAGGCGGCGUUCUGGACUGUAUCUGACACUGAGGAACGAAAGCCAGGGGAGCAAACGGGAUUAGAUACCCCGGUAGUCCUGGCCCUAAACGAUGAAUGCUUGGUGUGACGGGUAUCGAUCCCUGUCGUGCCGCAGUUAACGCGUUAAGCAUUCCGCCUGGGGAGUACGGUCGCAAGGCUG
RNAcentral lists this ribosomal RNA (372 nucleotides) under uncultured organism. Its description in RNAcentral is "bacterial SSU rRNA". It matches the Rfam family "Bacterial small subunit ribosomal RNA", at positions 526 to 896 of the family's 1533-position model. The record is from RNAcentral.